RNAcentral lists this transfer RNA (73 nucleotides) under Leuconostoc mesenteroides. Its description in RNAcentral is "tRNA-Asn". It matches the Rfam family "tRNA". From Rfam's summary of the family: Transfer RNA (tRNA) molecules are approximately 80 nucleotides in length. Their secondary structure includes four short double-helical elements and three loops (D, anti-codon, and T loops). Further hydrogen bonds mediate the characteristic L-shaped molecular structure. tRNAs have two regions of fundamental functional importance: the anti-codon, which is responsible for specific mRNA codon recognition, and the 3' end, to which the tRNAs corresponding amino acid is attached (by aminoacyl-tRNA synthetases). tRNAs cope with the degeneracy of the genetic code in two manners: having more than one tRNA (with a specific anti-codon) for a particular amino acid; and 'wobble' base-pairing, i.e. permitting non-standard base-pairing at the 3rd anti-codon position. Lineage: Bacteria; Bacillati; Bacillota; Bacilli; Lactobacillales; Lactobacillaceae. RNAcentral also lists the same sequence under 4 other names. The record is from RNAcentral.
UCCGACUUAGCUCAGUUGGUAGAGCAUCUGACUGUUAAUCAGGUUGUCGCCGGUUCGAGCCCGGCAGUCGGAG